CGGUGUUCAACUGGCGUGUCCGCGGGACGUCCUGCCGGUGGGCUUAGCCCGCAAGGGCGGCCCAACUUCAAAUCCCAUCGCGGUGCUCUUCACUGAGUGUCGAGGUGGGCCGGCACGUUUACUUUGAACAAAUUAGAGUGCUUAAAGCAGGCUAAAACUUCGCCUGAAUACUGUGUGCAUGGAAUAAUGGAAUAGGACCUCGGUUCUAUUUUGUUGGUUUUCGGAACCCCGAGGUAAUGAUUAAUAGGAACGGAUGGGGGCAUUCGUAUUGCGACGUUAGAGGUGAAAUUCUUGGAUCGUCGCAAGACGGACAGAAGCGAAAGCAUUUGCCAAAAACGCUUUCAUUGAUCAAGAACGAAAGUUAGAGGUUCGAAGGCGAUCAGAUACCGCCCUAGUUCUAACCAUAAACGAUGCCAGCUAGCGAUCCGUCGACGUUCCUCCGAUGACUCGACGGGCAGCUUCCGGGAAACCAAAGCUUUUGGGUUCCGGGGGAAGUAUGGUUGCAAAGCUGAAACUUAAAGGAAUUGACGGAAGGGCACCACCAGGAGUGGAGCCUGCGGCUUAAUUUGACUCAACACGGGAAACCUCACCAGGCCCGGACACCGGAAGGAUUGACAGAUUGAGAGCUCUUUCUUGAUUCGGUGGGUGGUGGUGCAUGGCCGUUCUUAGUUGGUGGAGCGAUUUGUCUGGUUAAUUUCGAUAACGAACGAGACUCUAGCCUGCUAACUAGGCGUAUUUUCGACAUCUCAAAGGUCCGUCGUCCCGGCCCUCGGGUCGUGGGCGUGCGCGAUUUUUACUGUCGGCGUACUAUCAAUUCUUCUUAGAGGGACAGGUGGCUUCUAGCCGCACGAGAUUGAGCAAUAACAGGUCUGUGAUG
RNAcentral lists this ribosomal RNA (877 nucleotides) under uncultured eukaryote. Its description in RNAcentral is "SSU rRNA". It matches the Rfam family "Eukaryotic small subunit ribosomal RNA", at positions 636 to 1469 of the family's 1831-position model. The record is from RNAcentral.